CUGCACACAAGACUUGUCUCUCUCUCCUCUCCAUCUCUCUCUAAUAAUUCAAAACUCUCUGACUAACCGAUUAAGAUGUCUUCCAGAUCACCGGUAUAGAUGCCCAACGAACAAAUCUAGGAGAACAGGGAAGACGACAGCAUCACAAAUUCGGCCAACGAAGUUUUUGCUCUUUGUCCUGCACUCGAUAUAGUCUGCGCGAUGAUGUCCUUCAAAUUGUCGGCAAAGAUUGCGAACGAACAAAUCUAGGAGAACGGGAAAGACAACGGCAUUCGGUCGACAUAGUUUCAUAAUUUGCUUCAAAACCUUCAGGAAGAACAGAGGAAUUUGUCAUUCUUGCCGGGGGCAAGACACAUGAUGCCGGAAUGCCCCAAAAAGAAGAGAUGCCUAAACUGUGGAGAUGGGUUCGUUAGAUGGUUGGAGGUAGAAAAAAAUUCCAAGAAUCAAGGGAAGUUGUUCCAUUCCUGGACUCACGACUGUGGGUUCUUCAAGUUUUGUAACGUUUCACCCGAUGAAGAGUAUCCAUUGCAAGGUGAAUCAAGUGGCACAACUAAAGGAAGUGAAUCGGUCCAUGAGUUGUCCCGUUUAUUGAAAGUAUGCACAAAAAUAACUGAGGAGCGAGAUGUAGAUAUUUCACUUAACAUAACCAUGCGCAAGGAAAAAUGUGUUUCGGAUGAUUUAAUCUGAAGUCUAUGUAAUUGGAUGAUUUCAACUUCUUUAGCUUUAAGUUUGUUUUACGAGUAUUUGGAUGAUUUUGACUUCGUUGGCUUUAAGUUUGAUUUACUUGUAUUUGGAUGA
This is a long non-coding RNA of Olea europaea var. sylvestris, 798 nucleotides long. RefSeq lists it as uncharacterized. The record is from RefSeq and is a predicted model, not a curated record. The transcript is spliced from 2 exons. NCBI's taxonomy places the organism in Eukaryota, Viridiplantae, Streptophyta, Magnoliopsida, Lamiales, Oleaceae.